CCUACGGGAGGCAGCAGUGGGGAAUCUUGCGCAAUGGGGGAAACCCUGACGCAGCAACGCCGCGUGAGUGAUGAAGGCCUUCGGGUCGUAAAGCUCUGUCAGAGGGGAAGAAAUGCAGGUGGUGAACAACCAUUCUGUUUGACGGUGCCCUCAAAGGAAGCACCGGCUAACUACGUGCCAGCAGCCGCGGUAAUACGUAGGGUGCGAGCGUUAAUCGGAAUUACUGGGCGUAAAGCGUGCGCAGGCGGCUUUGUAAGACGGAUGUAAAAUCCCUGGGCUUAACCUAGGAACUGCGUUCGGGACUGCAAAGCUAGAGUGCGGCAGAGGGGGGUGAAAUUCCUGGUGUAGCAGUAAAAUGCGUAGAGAUCAGGAGGAACACCGAUGGCGAAGGCGGCCCCCUGGGUUGG
RNAcentral lists this ribosomal RNA (407 nucleotides) under uncultured bacterium. RNAcentral describes it as "partial 16S ribosomal RNA". It matches the Rfam family "Bacterial small subunit ribosomal RNA", at positions 338 to 737 of the family's 1533-position model. The record is from RNAcentral.